UACGUAGGGACCAAGCGUUGUUCGGAUUUACUGGGCGUAAAGGGCGCGUAGGCGGCAAUUCAAGUCAGCUGUGAAAUCUCCGGGCUUAACUCGGAACGGUCAGCUGAUACUGCUUUGCUAGAGUACAGAAGGGGCAAUCGGAAUUCUUGGUGUAGCGGUGAAAUGCGUAGAUAUCAAGAGGAACACCUGAGGUGAAGACGGGUUGCUGGGCUGAUACUGACGCUGACAGCGCGAAAGCCAGGGGAGCAAACGGG
RNAcentral lists this ribosomal RNA (254 nucleotides) under uncultured bacterium. RNAcentral's name for it is "partial 16S ribosomal RNA". It matches the Rfam family "Bacterial small subunit ribosomal RNA", at positions 524 to 776 of the family's 1533-position model. The record is from RNAcentral.